UACGGAGGGUGCAAGCGUUAAUCGGAAUUACUGGGCGUAAAGCGCGCGUAGGCGGCUUGGUAAGUCGAUUGUGAAAGCCCCGGGCUCAACCUGGGAAUUGCAGUCGAGACUGUCAGGCUAGAGUGUGGGAGAGGGCAGUGGAAUUCCCGGUGUAGCGGUGAAAUGCGUAGAUAUCGGGAGGAACAUCAGUGGCGAAGGCGACUGCCUGGCCCAACACUGACGCUGAGGUGCGAAAGCGUGGGUAGCAAACAGG
RNAcentral lists this ribosomal RNA (253 nucleotides) under uncultured bacterium. Its description in RNAcentral is "partial 16S ribosomal RNA". It matches the Rfam family "Bacterial small subunit ribosomal RNA", at positions 524 to 776 of the family's 1533-position model. The record is from RNAcentral.